Podarcis muralis (Common wall lizard) is the source of this 807-nucleotide long non-coding RNA. RefSeq lists it as uncharacterized. The record is from RefSeq and is a predicted model, not a curated record. NCBI's taxonomy places the organism in Eukaryota, Metazoa, Chordata, Lepidosauria, Squamata, Lacertidae.
UCUUGAGGUUCUUGUAUCCUCAGCACAUACAGGGUUUAGAGAGAUCUGCUGUGGUGAUCUUUGCUUAUUUUGUUGACAAGAUGGCAUCUGACAAACUUCUGGCUCCCUCCCUGGAACUUCCAACAUCCAUGCUGGGUCCGCUGGUGGCAGUUUCAUGCCUUUGUGCCUUGGGUCCUGACAUGGAAUGCCACCAGCAGGCUGCACAAACCCUCUGAAAUCUCCUGCCCGGGAAAGAAGUACAGAUCACUUGCAGUGGCCGCAAACCAGCAAGGUCAAGAUCAGAGGAUCUGGAACUACAACCAUCCUCUGCGGAAGACAGCAACUCCGGAAACAGAAGAUUCCACGAACGGCUGUCAUCUGCGAAAGAGACCCACUGAUUAUGCCAAGUAGACACCUCUGCCCUCGAACCAAAAAAUUGUGGUGACUUCGAUACCUUGAUAUACAACUGUUAACACCUCCAUCCUUUGUUUAUCUCGCAUCAAUUGCCCACUUUUGCCAGUGGCACACACACACAUGAGCAUGUCUUCCCCCGUUCUGCCGGACCCGCAUGUCAGCAAUUGCACAUCAAUUGGACGCUCCUCAAAUGGUUGGUGCUAUUUUCCAGAACACUGAUUGUAUGUGUGUAUGUAUGCUCUUGUUGACCAUUUUUUAUUAUUAUUUCAGGGUUCUAGGGUUUUUUUUUUUUGCCAAAUCUUUUUUACUGAUUUUCAAUUUUAUUUACGAACCGGCCACCAACUGAAACAAAUUUAACAUUUUUCCAAAGAAAAACCAGUUUAACAUUUUUCCAAAUCUGACUUCCUGCACACC